UCGGAUUCAUUGGGCGUAAAGGGGGCGUAGGCGGUCGGGUAAGUCGGAUGUGAAAUCUCAGGGCUCAACCCUGAAACUGCAUUCGAUACUGCCUGGCUAGGGUACUGGAGAGGAGACUGGAAUUUACGGUGUAGCAGUGAAAUGCGUAGAUAUCGUAAGGAAGACCAGUGGCGAAGGCGAGUCUCUGGACAGUUACCGACGCUGAGGCACGAAGGCCAGGGGAGCAAACGGG
RNAcentral lists this ribosomal RNA (232 nucleotides) under uncultured bacterium. RNAcentral describes it as "partial 16S ribosomal RNA". It matches the Rfam family "Bacterial small subunit ribosomal RNA", at positions 545 to 776 of the family's 1533-position model. The record is from RNAcentral.